GGGCACGACACCGGAGAGGGAGCCUGAGGAACGGCUACCACANCNNNNNAUGGCAGCAGGCGCGCAAAUUACCCAAUCCCGANANGGGGAGGUAGUGACAAUAAAUAACAAUACGGGGUUCUUUAGGAUCUCGUAAUUGGAAUGAGUACAAUUUAAAUCUCUUAACGAGGAACAAUUGGAGGGCAAGUCUGGUGCCAGCAGCCGCGGUAAUUCCAGCUCCAAUAGCGUAUAUUAAAGUUGUUGCAGUUAAAAAGCUCGUAGUUGAAUUUCGGGGUUAGUAGGUUGGUCAUGCCUCUGGUAUGUACUGGUCUCACUGAUUCCUCCUUCCUUAUGAACCGUAAUGCCAUUAAUUUGGUGUUGCGGGGAAUUUGGACUGUUACUUUGAAAAAAUUAGAGUGUUUAAAGCAAGCUAACGCUUGAAUACAUUAGCAUGGAAUAAUGAAAUAGGACGUUCGAUCUUAUUUUGUUGGUUUCUAGGAUUGACGUAAUGAUUAAUAGGGAUAGUUGGGGGCAUUAGUAUUCAAUUGUCAGAGGUGAAAUUCUUGGAUUUAUUGAAGACUAACUACUGCGAAAGCAUUUGCCAAGGAUGUUUUCAUUAAUCAAGAACGAAAGUUAGGGGAUCGAAGACGAUCAGAUACCGUCGUAGUCUUAACCAUAAACUAUGCCGACUAGGGAUCGGAUGAUGUUAAUUUUUUAAUGACUCAUUCGGCGCCUUACGGGAAACCAAAGUGUUU
This 734-nucleotide ribosomal RNA is filed under the name uncultured Glomeromycotina. RNAcentral describes it as "SSU rRNA". It matches the Rfam family "Eukaryotic small subunit ribosomal RNA", at positions 373 to 1108 of the family's 1831-position model. The record is from RNAcentral. Lineage: Eukaryota; Fungi; Glomeromycota.